This 74-nucleotide transfer RNA is filed under the name Comamonas testosteroni ATCC 11996. RNAcentral's name for it is "tRNA-OTHER". Lineage: Bacteria; Pseudomonadati; Pseudomonadota; Betaproteobacteria; Burkholderiales; Comamonadaceae. The record is from RNAcentral.
CCUGCAGCGAAUGCCGGUGGAACUACAGACUUUUAAUCUCGUGGUCGCAGGUUCGAAUCCUGCCAGCAGUUGCA